ACGCUAGCUAUAGGCUUAACACAUGCAAGUCGAGGGGAAACGGCAUUAUGUGCUUGCACAUUUUGGACGUCGACCGGCGCACGGGUGAGUAUCGCGUAUCCAACCUUCCCUCCACUCGGGGAUACCCCGUUGAAAGACGGCCUAAUACCCGAUGUUGUCCACAUAUGGCAUCUGACGUGGACCAAAGAUUCAUCGGUGGAGGAUGGGGAUGCGUCUGAUUAGCUUGUUGGUGCGGGUAACGGCCCACCAAGGCUACGAUCAGUAGGGGUUCUGAGAGGAAGGUCCCCCACAUUGGAACUGAGACACGGUCCAAACUCCUACGGGAGGCAGCAGUGAGGAAUAUUGGUCAAUGGACGUAAGUCUGAACCAGCCAAGUAGCGUGCAGGAUUGACGGCCCUAUGGGUUGUAAACUGCUUUUGUUGGGGAGUAAAGUGAGGCACGCGUGCCUUUUUGCAUUUACCCUUCGAAUAAGGACCGGCUAAUUCCGUGCCAGCAGCCGCGGUAAUACGGAAGGUCCAGGCGUUAUCCGGAUUUAUUGGGUUUAAAGGGAGUGUAGGCGGUCUGUUAAGCGUGUUGUGAAAUUUAGGUGCUCAACAUCUACCUUGCAGCGCGAACUGGCGGACUUGAGUGCACGCAACGUAUGCGGAAUUCAUGGUGUAGCGGUGAAAUGCUUAGAUAUCAUGACGAACUCCGAUUGCGAAGGCAGCGUACGGGAGUGUUACUGACGCUUAAGCUCGAAGGUGCGGGUAUCGAACAGGAUUAGAUACCCUGGUAGUCCGCACGGUAAACGAUGGAUGCCCGCUGUUAGCGCCUGGCGUUAGCGGCUAAGCGAAAGCAUUAAGCAUCCCACCUGGGGAGUACGCCGGCAACGGUGAAACUCAAAGGAAUUGACGGGGGCCCGCACAAGC
This 908-nucleotide ribosomal RNA is filed under the name uncultured bacterium. RNAcentral describes it as "bacterial SSU rRNA". It matches the Rfam family "Bacterial small subunit ribosomal RNA", at positions 33 to 930 of the family's 1533-position model. The record is from RNAcentral.